CUUAAAUUCUCCCCCGGGGAGGGAAGCAUGCACUGUUUCAAAUAUUUGUUUAUUGUUUAUUAAACCAUGUUUGUAUUGUUUUAUGAUAUGUUUAAAAAUAUUUGUGAGCAGAUCUUGUAAUUGUUGCUUUUGCACUAAUAAUGACAAAGCUAGUUCUGCACUAGUUGGCAAAUAUAUUUCAAAUCAGAAUCGUGAUCCUGCCUGUGACUGUAAAUUCACAUAGCUCAGAUUUCAAGGAAACCCUCCUGAUUUACAUAAGGUUGUCCCAAAUUUGAAGGAGAUCUCUUACCUUUUAUUAUGUGAAAUAUCAGAAAGUGUUAUAAACUAUAAUUCCACUGAACUGUAUUUUCAUGUAAAAUCGUCUAGGAGCUCCGAGUGUGCUUUUCAUCGCCCACAAGAGGAGGCGAAGCAGCCUGCUUCAGAGAGUGGAAAGUUUUGCCUGGUUUGGAAGACUGGUGAAGUUAAAGUUCUUGUGCCACCAGAUGCCUUGAGAAGUGAGUGGUGUCUGUACAGAGGAAUCAUCCCUGGUUAACAGAAGGAGUAGCUUUUGUGGGACAGCUACAGAUCCACAUGGAUAUCUGCAGAGCUUUACUAUGAGGGGACCUCAGAUAAUUCAGCUGAAACAAUUGUGUGGCUCUAAAGGACCUUAGCAGGAGAGUGAAACAUACUGGCACAACUCCUUUUACAACAGAAGGAAACAGAUGCAAAUCAAGCCUUUUUCUCCACCUGGGAUGCAGAAGCCAUGAACUAUAUAACAUUACAAUCCUGCCCAACGCUGAUAUGUUUUCAAAUUCAUCUGCUCUGAAAUGACAUGUCAUUCAUAAAAAACAGCAUAUAAAAG
This 841-nucleotide long non-coding RNA is filed under the name Anser brachyrhynchus (Pink-footed goose). RNAcentral's name for it is "lncRNA (ENSABRG00000010464.1)". The record is from RNAcentral. Lineage: Eukaryota; Metazoa; Chordata; Aves; Anseriformes; Anatidae.